GUCGUGCACCGGGGUCAGUGAAAGUCUGAACCGGCGGUUACAGUCCGCGACCCUCCCCACCCGGGGAGGUUGAGCUGGUGGAAUUCCAGCACCGACGGUUAAAGUCCGGAUGGUAGGAGCACGAU
Molecule: non-coding RNA, 125 nt
Filed under: Corynebacterium argentoratense
Lineage: Bacteria; Bacillati; Actinomycetota; Actinomycetes; Mycobacteriales; Corynebacteriaceae
Also listed under: 1 other name
Description: FMN sequence
Rfam family: FMN riboswitch aptamer (RFN element)
About the family: The RFN element is a highly conserved domain that is found frequently in the 5'-untranslated regions of prokaryotic mRNAs that encode for flavin mononucleotide (FMN) biosynthesis and transport proteins. This element is a metabolite-dependent riboswitch that directly binds FMN in the absence of proteins.
Source: RNAcentral